This is a long non-coding RNA of Siniperca chuatsi (mandarin fish), 296 nucleotides long. RefSeq lists it as uncharacterized. NCBI's taxonomy places the organism in Eukaryota, Metazoa, Chordata, Actinopteri, Centrarchiformes, Sinipercidae. The transcript has 3 exons. The record is from RefSeq and is a predicted model, not a curated record.
AAAUAAGAGUACGUAAAGGCGUUUAUGGUUUCCACCGCUAUAGCUUAAAUUGAGUCAUGUGUGGGGUUUUCUUUUCUUUUUAUGUGUUAUUAUUCCUCCUGCUGAAAAAUUCUGUUGAAAGCUCCAGAAAAUGCUAAAUUUUCAGUCAACAGGCUAUACAAGGUAAAUGAGGACAACUGAGCAAUCUCUUUGACAACUGAGCAAACUUCUGAUGAAGACCGAGAGAUGCGGUUGACAGCUCCAGAAAAAGCCAAUAGGAACGUUGGAUUUAAAUCACAUAUAACUAAACAGAAAAG